CGGAGGCUACCGCUAUUGGAGUCCGAUUAAGACAUGCGAGUCGAGAGCUUUCGGAGCUCGGCAUACUGCUCAGUAACACGUGGGUAACCUGCCCUGUGCUGGGGGAUAACCUCGGGAAACUGAGAACAAUACCCCAUAGUCCACUACGCCUGGAACGGUGAGUGGAUGAAAGCCCCGGCGGCACAGGAUGGGCCUGCGGCGUAUCAGGUAGUAGGGGGUGUAAAGUACCCUCUAGCCUUCGACGCGUACGGGUUGUGAGAGCAAUAGCCCGGAGAUGGAUUCUGAGACACGAAUCCAGGUCCUACGGGACGCAGCAGUCGCGAAACCUUGACAAUGCGGGAAACCGUGAUCAGGGGACUCCAAGUGCCAGGAGUAAGAUCCUGUGCUUUUCUUUUCUCUUCAAAGGAUUUGGAAUAAGAGGUGGGUAAGGACGGUGCCAGCCGCCGCGGUAAUACCGGCGCCUCGAGUGGUAGUCGAUUUUAUUGGGCCUAAAACGUCCGUCGCCGGUCUGGUGCAUUCGUGGGUAAAUCAACCCGCUCAACGGGUUGAAUUCUGCGAGCACGGCCAGACUAGGGACCGGGAGAGGUGUGGGGUACGCUCGGGGUAGGGGUAAAAUCCUGUCAUCCCGAGCGGACCACCUGUUGCGAAGGCUCCACACUAGAACGGAUCCGACGGUCAGGGACGAAGCCUAGGGGCACGAACCGGAUUAGAUACCCGGGUAGUCCUAGGUGUAAACGCUGUGGACUUGGUGUUGGGAGCUCCAGAGGGCUCUCAGUGCCGUAGCGAAGGUGAUAAGUCCCACUGCCUGGGGAGUACGGUCGCAAGGCUGAAACUUAAAGGAAUUGGCGGGG
RNAcentral lists this ribosomal RNA (851 nucleotides) under uncultured archaeon. RNAcentral's name for it is "bacterial SSU rRNA". It matches the Rfam family "Archaeal small subunit ribosomal RNA", at positions 18 to 873 of the family's 1478-position model. The record is from RNAcentral.